AUACUUACCUGUCAGGGGAGAUACCAUGAUCCCGAAGGUGGUUUUCCUAGGGAGAGGUUUAUCCAUUGCCCUCCGGAUGUUCUGGCCCCUGCGAUUUCCCCAAAUGUGGGAAACUCGACUGCAUAAUUUGUGGUAGUGGGGGACUGCGUUCGUGCUCUCCCCUA
Molecule: small nuclear RNA, 164 nt
Organism: Nycticebus coucang (slow loris)
Lineage: Eukaryota; Metazoa; Chordata; Mammalia; Primates; Lorisidae
Product: U1 spliceosomal RNA
Exons: 1
Source: RefSeq, a predicted model, not a curated record